CGUACGUGUGUGACUUUGACUGUGCUCCCGUUUGUGUGUGACUGGGAAGAGGCAUCGUCGCUGCCGCUGGCUUAGUGCGUGCGUGUAACUGUUUACGGACUUCAAGAAAUCCCAUCGCAUCCUUUCUGUUCUCAAGGCUGACGAAACUAGAAAAAAAAACAAUCAUCAACAACAACUGCAGAAGAUUGAUCCCGUACGGAGCAAAUAACUUAGCUUCGCAUACAGCUGACAAGCUUUUUCAUCAACAUAAACUAGCAAGCAAUCCUUUCAUGAUGCAUAUCCGAGAAGAUAUCUUCACCGCAUGAACCAACAGUGCAACGAUAUCACGAAAACACCCCGAAAAGAACAACCAAUGCAAAAACUAUGUAAUCAACAUUUUCCGAGCCCGCGCCAAUAGUCCUCUGCACAACACUAUACCAGCUGUUGGUUCGAUACGUUCAAGAUGUGAUGACAGGGCGGCUUUUUGAUACCGGUUCGAGAUAUGGAAUGAGAAGUUAUCGUUAACUAUUUUGCUUUCUCCUCUAUAAAUAUCAAUACAAUCCUCUUGCGGAAUUUUCGACUUAGCAGCCGACUCUUUGCUACGAUCCUACUGAGAGUGAGCAUCCUGGAUAAGUACAAUGUGUCCUCAUGGUAGUGUAUGACUAUGGAGACGCAUAGUAUUGCAGCAGCGAAAAAACACAAAAAAGUGUAUAAUACAUUAACAAGGCGGAGGAAGAAACCGAGGAGA
Molecule: long non-coding RNA, 727 nt
Organism: Topomyia yanbarensis
Lineage: Eukaryota; Metazoa; Arthropoda; Insecta; Diptera; Culicidae
Exons: 3
Source: RefSeq, a predicted model, not a curated record